This 1347-nucleotide long non-coding RNA is filed under the name Homo sapiens (human). Its description in RNAcentral is "HSALNT0085292". The record is from RNAcentral. Lineage: Eukaryota; Metazoa; Chordata; Mammalia; Primates; Hominidae.
GGUGAGGGCUCCAGCAUGGCAGGCUGCAGGUCCCGAGCCCUGCCCCCUUGCCCCGCGGGGAGGUGGCUGAGGCCCAGCGAAAAUUCGAGCGCGGCGCCGGCGGGCCAUCACUGUUGGAGGACCCAGUGCACCCUCCGCAGCUGUUGGCCCGGGUGCUAAGCCUCUCACUGCCCAGGGCCGGCGGCGCCAGCCGACCGCUCAGAAUGCGGGGCGCGCCGAGCCCGCGCCCACCCGGAAGUCGCGCUGGACCUGCGAGCACCGCAGGCAGCCCAGGUUCCGGCCCGCGCCUCUCCCUCCACACCUCCCCGCCAGCAGAGGGAGCCCGCUCAGGCCUCAGCCAGCACAGGGAGGGGCUCCCACGGUGCAGCUGCGGGCUGAAGGGCUCCUCAAGCGCGGCCAGAGUGGGCUGAGGCCGAGGAGGCGCGGAGAGCCAGCGAGGGAUGCCAGCAAGCUGUCACCUCUCAGAAAUACAGGAAGAACAUCAAUAAUGUUCGAAGUUAUAAAUUGCGGAGGUCAGAAGUCAGAAAACAAGGUGUCUGCAGGACCAACCUCUCCUCUGGAUGCUCUAGGGAACGUGGUUAGCCCAUCAACUGCAAAGAUUGUUCUCAUAUAAUAUUGUUCUGAUGGAUAAUGAGACUCUGAAAGUGGAACAUAAACAGAUAAAACAAAAACAAACAGAAAAAAACCCAAAAACCUAAACUCAACUUCAGUUAAAGCAGAAAAUAUCUGUCCAGCCUAAACCAGGCAUACUCAACAGACUUCUUCUGUUAGAAGCCUGAUCCUACUUCAGUCUGGAACUACCUAGUCUUCAGGUUUGCCUGGUGCUCACCAGCUGAAGAAAUCCUUUAACGACCUUUAUUCAGUCAAGUAAAUUGUUUUAUUUUGGCAACUUGCAUGUUAUUUUUUAGGUUUUCAUUUAUUUUUUUUUAUAUUUAAAGUCAUAUUUUCUUCCUUUUAUUCACUUUGCUGGUCUUUCUCACUUUGAUUUUUUUUUUUUGCCUUGUUUUGCAUUUGUUUACUUUAACAUUGUUUGUAACUUAUCUCUUUUAUUUUGGAAAUUAUUCACAUUAUCAGUUUUCUUUUGCUAGGCAAUUUUGAUAUUCUAAUAAACAUUAUUAACAUAAAAUAUAAAGUUUAUUAACACCAAGCCCAAACAAUACCAAGUCUUAGGGCUCUUUAAUUGCAAUUAUUUAAAAAUAUUUGCUACAAAUUGUUCAUUAUUUUAUAUUUACAUUGUUUUUCUUAUUCCCACAAAUCACAUAUUGUUGGUGUGUUUGUUAAAUAAAAUUGUGAUUGCUUAUAUAUAUUUUUUCACAUCCUUUCUUCUUCUAAUAUUUUGGAAUUUAC